This is a long non-coding RNA of Amphiprion ocellaris (clown anemonefish), 1087 nucleotides long. NCBI's taxonomy places the organism in Eukaryota, Metazoa, Chordata, Actinopteri, Pomacentridae. The record is from Ensembl.
AUAUAUAUAUAUAUAUAUAUAUAUAUAUAUAUAUAUAUAUAUAUAUAUAUGUGCUAUUACAGGGGAUUCUGUUCUAUGCCACUCCUAUGCUAAGGAUGGAUUUAACAGUAACUUUGUGAAGAUGCUUGAAAUACAGUUUGAUGUUUUUGAGCAUCAGUGAGGGUCGUGACCAUGAGGAAUGGUUUUCUUUUUUAUAAAAUACCAUUAAACAGUCAUAGCUAAAUUUUUUUAAAAAGCGACACUUUGAGAGGUGAUUUUUAUUAUUUUUUUCCUGCACUUUAGACUGAAAAUGGAGAAACAGGGAGGUGUGUUUAUUCAAGCCAUCAUAGACACAUCCGAUGUUCAAAAUGCUCUUAAAGAUGAAUCAGAAUUGAUGCAGAAAGCGUGCAGCGUUCCAUUGAGUAAAUAAGGGUGAAUAGUGUCUCGUCUGACUCCUUGGAUGCGCUAAGUAGAAACAAGCCAACUUCAUGGCAUUCCAGGUCUCAUCUCGCAGCCAUAUCCAAGAUCUAAACGGCUUGAUAGGUGCACACGACAUUUCAGACGUUUUGUUCCGAAUGUUACUUGUUUUAAAAACGAAAUUUUAUACCGAAGCUAAAGACUAUUUUGACAUUUGCUUUAAUACAGUCAGCAGUGAUUGGACUGUAUCACAAAGACACUAUUUCCGAUGAUGUCUAUGACAGUGGAAUGGUAUUUUAUAAUGGUUUGUUUUUAGAUAAGCUUUUUACACUGCAUUCAAGUGUGUUUGCUAUUUUUUGUUCCUACCGAAAGUACUAACGUUAAUUCUAUCUUUGCUAUGUUGGCGAGCCCUUGAAGGUUUUGUACUUAUCAAAACUUUUGUAAUUUUGAUUUAUUUGUAGCUACGUACUCAAAAUGAACAAAAAAUAGAGAAUCUGGAUUUAAUUGUUGAUGUAUUAUAACACGCAGAACAUGUAAAUACCAAUUUGCAGAUUUUUUUUUUUGUCUUUUCCCUCACUUAUGUUGUACUCUCUCUCUCUCACUCACAUGGUUGCAGUCUGCAGCCUCCUGAUCAGACUGUUGUAAUAUCACUCAGAUCUCAAGGUCUAGAAUAAAAUCUAUUUUGAUAAUA